CCUACGGGCUGCACCAGUGGGGAAUAUUGGACAAUGGGCGAGAGCCUGAUCCAGCAAUGCCGCGUUAGUGAUGAAGGCCUUAGGGUUGUAAAGCUCUUUUACCCGGGAUGAUAAUGACAGUACCGGGAGAAUAAGCCCCGGCUAACUCCGUGCCAGCAGCCGCGGUAAUACGGAGGGGGCUAGCGUUGUUCGGAAUUACUGGGCGUAAAGCGCACGUAGGCGGCUUUGUAAGUUAGAGGUGAAAGCCCGGGGCUCAACUCCGGAGCUGCCUUUAAGACUGCAUCGCUUGAAUCAUGGAGAGGUUAGUGGAAUUCCGAGUGUAGAGGUGAAAUUCGUAGAUAUUCGGAAGAACACCAGUGGCGAAGGCGACUAACUGGACAUGUAUUGACGCUGAGGUGCGAAAGCGUGGGGAGCAAACAGGAUUAGAUACCCUUGUAGUC
This 440-nucleotide ribosomal RNA is filed under the name uncultured bacterium. RNAcentral's name for it is "bacterial SSU rRNA". It matches the Rfam family "Bacterial small subunit ribosomal RNA", at positions 338 to 795 of the family's 1533-position model. The record is from RNAcentral.